This is a long non-coding RNA of Choloepus didactylus (southern two-toed sloth), 185 nucleotides long. RefSeq lists it as uncharacterized. Lineage: Eukaryota; Metazoa; Chordata; Mammalia; Pilosa; Megalonychidae. The transcript has 3 exons. The record is from RefSeq and is a predicted model, not a curated record.
UGAAGAUCAUGGGAAGACUGAUUUCAAUGUAUUGAUGGAUGAAGUAAAAAAUGUUACAGAAGAUGAGAAAGUUGGUUUGGGUGUGUUGAUGGAUGCAGUGAAAGCUUUUACAGGAGAAAAGGUUGAUGCAAGUGACUUAAAAAAUGUGUUGGGAAACAUGGGAAUUGAGGUCACCAAAAAAGAAC